GCCACAGGAUGCAACAGCUUUGGAUUGGUUUCUAGGAUGGGGAAUCCUUGCGUCCUGAUUUCAACUCAGCAACCAAACUGAAUACUGUUUAAAGAGGAAGGAAGGAAGAAUGCUUCAAUGUCUUACGUUCUAACUGGGAAAAGAAGACCCGUGUACAGAAGUUUUGUCCUCCCCCAGGAUCAUAAAUAACUUCCAAAGUAAAAGCACAUCCGUGACUAUUUGGACAACUUGUAGGUAGGUGGUGGAGCAAAAGAAACCUAAACUGAAAGCAAUCUUGCCAUUCAACACAAGAUUCAUGGUAUCCAGGAGCUCGCCUGUUCGUUGCAUCUUCAAGGAGACCCAGCAUGCUAGCAAAGUUGCCUGAUAAAUAUGCCACAUCUCUCUGCACAGGUUCAAACGCAUCCCUGGUCAUGUCAGCAUUUUGAUGCUUCCUGGGGGCCCUUCUCUUUCUCAUUAGCAUUUUCAGAAGGUUAUAUGACUCAAAUCUAUUAAGCAGAUAACCCCCGCCCCCAGCAAGUUGUGAGGGGCUAGAGAGAGAGAAGACAGGGCAAUGAACUUGGAGGAGAUUCACACCCCUGCCCCACAUUCUUCUGGGAACUGGAAAGUCUGUGUCUUUUGCGAUGAAAGAACAGGUUAUGACCCCUUCAGACACUGUCUCUGGAGAGGUAAAGUUCACAAGCUGCAGAGGAGGGGGCACUCAUCCUAAAGGAUCCUUGCUGCUGACUCCAUCUCUGUCCUUGAAGAGACCUUUUUUGCUUCUCUAGACACUUGUAGGCACCCUGGUGAGUUGACCCCAGGGACUCACAUUUCAUUUUGAGACCAGUCCUCUGGCUGUCACAUUCACUUCAACUUAACCCCCUCCUUUCAUGGGAAUGACCUAGAGAUGGCUGCCUGAAGGAGAAAGUGUGUCUCUGGUGUUUGGCAGAACAUAUAAUGAUGGUCCCUUCUCAAGAAUAGGGAGGAGAGAUGAUGGUGAAACACAGGCACAGGGGUGCCUCUGUCUAGCUAUUUAGGAGUUGUUGAACUAAAAAGACUGAUUUUAGAAAGUGGUAGCUCAGAGCAGAACACAGCUCCCAUGCUGUUUGAGGGAAAGAGAUCAGGAAACAAAAGGUUUUAAGUCAGGAGGAAUUCUGACUUAAUAGAAACUGGUAGCUUCUUUGGACCAACUCGUAAGUGGAUUUGAAGAUAGAGACAGAAUGUUUUUGGAAAUCCUCUUAAAGUAACCCUGGAAGGAGGAUAGCCUGGGCUUGGCUCCUUAAUAGAGGUAUCCAGAAGAAAUUAAGUAAUUUUCAUUCCCUGAUCUGGAUAAGGCUAGAAAGGUAUUGAUUCUCUAUAGGCAAAUGCAGAUUCACCAGCAUGAAUUCAUUUGUAUUGUCUGCAAGCAAGUCGUCCUCUUUUAUAUGAAAAAUGAUUUGGAACAGGUUUUAGGAUGAGAAAUCUGGUGCAGUUCAGCAGGAUGGAUUUGGGAGGGAAGAGGUGGUGAGAGGAAGUCGUUAGAAGGCUCUUGUGAUUGAAUAUUAAGAUCAUGGAGCCUGGAAUUGCAAUGGUAGCCCUGGAACUGGAGAAGAAUUUGUUACUGAUCAGAAAGGCCUUGCAGGAAAGUUCUUCAACAAAAAAGAAGAAAAAAUGGGCAAAAUGUGGGAAAAAAUACUUGCCACAAAUAUGAUGGACAAAAGUGAAUAUUCUAAACAUUUAAAAAACGUAUGGAGAGGAGAGUUCCCAUCAUGGUGCAGUGGAAACAAAUCCGACUAGGAACCAUGAGGUUGAAGGUUUGUUCCCUGGCCUCGUUCAGUGGGUUAAGGAUCUGGCAUUGCUGUGUGCUAUGGUGCAGGUCACAGAUGCAGCUCAGAUCUGGUGCUGCUGUUGCUCUGGCAUAGGCUGGCAACUGUAGCUCCAAUUAGACCCCUAGCCUGGGAACCUCCAUAUGCUGUGGGUGUGGCCCUGAAAAAAGACAAAAAGACAAAAGACAAAAAAUAAAUAAAAUUUAAAAAUUAAAAAUUAAAAACAUAUGGACAAAAAAACACAGAGAUCCAACAGCCCUAAGGGCAGAGGGAAUGGAUGGGAAAUUCCCAUAGAAAGAAUAUAGAUGAGGUAAUAUACAUGCAGAAAUGUUUAGCCUCACUAGUGGUUAACAAACUAAAAAUUUAAACAGUGAUUUUUUUUUUUUUUAGCAAUCACAUAAUUCAUUUAAAAAUGAUAAUGUUCAUCCAGCAUGGUGCAUGUGUUAACUGGCAUAAUAUUUCUGGAAAGGACUUUGCUGAUAUAACAGAAAAUUUUAAAAUGUUUCCACCCUUUGAUUCACAUUCUACUUUUCAAUGACUAUCCUAAAGAUGUAAGUUAUUAACACAGAUUUACUUGUUUAUCAAGGUGGUUUUUAGAAUAGCAAAAGCAAGGAAGACAGGGAAACAACCAAAUGUCCAAUACCGGGGACGUGUUGAAUAAAUUAUGACAUAUUCUACCAUAUGAUGAACCAUUAAGAAAUUAUUAAAGUUGUAUUUUCUUCACAGUGAAAAUAUCUUUAUAUAACGCUAAUACAUGUUUUUAUGAAACAUAUAGUUAUUUCACGAUAUGAUCUCAAUUGUUUAUAUAUGUGCAUACAUUAUUCUAUGAAUAUACAUAAAAGGUAUGAUCAAAA
Molecule: long non-coding RNA, 2635 nt
Filed under: Sus scrofa (pig)
Lineage: Eukaryota; Metazoa; Chordata; Mammalia; Artiodactyla; Suidae
Description: lncRNA (ENSSSCG00030037738.1)
Source: RNAcentral